This 2557-nucleotide long non-coding RNA is filed under the name Xyrichtys novacula (pearly razorfish). Lineage: Eukaryota; Metazoa; Chordata; Actinopteri; Labriformes; Labridae. The record is from RNAcentral.
CCUCAGGUUUCCUCCGCCCCAUCACAGUGCGGGAGCUUUACUACGCUGCCCACUCUCAAUAGGCAGGGCUGACGGUAAGAUUUCAGAUGCCGGCCAACCUCUCAGAGGGAACAGGUGUCCCCUCUGUCUGCCCGUGGUCGAGGUCCCGUGGUGGAAGCAUGGGAAAGGGCAGCCACCGCAGAGGUUCUACCCCAGCGGACAGGUAACAGAGCGCCUUUCAACUCGGCCUGAAUUCAGCUAAAUUGGUAUCCUUUUAGGCACCACGGGAAGCAGUUGGAUCUAGGAAAUAAAGAGCGGAAAUUUGCAGAGUGAUUCCCAGUUGGCUUGAGGAGUAUGGAGCUCUUACAAUGGGAAAGGAGAGGAACUAUUUUGAUGUGUAAAUGAGAUAAGAAAAAAGGGUCUUAGGCCAGAAUUGCUUAACUUUAUUGCCUUAAUGGAGGUGAUCAGACUACACUAAUUGUGUAACCAGUGAAUAAUUCAGUGACUGAAAUAUACUGCCCUCAACGGACUUUAGCAAACACAUCAACAAUCACCUUUCCGACAAUUUCCUGGGGACAUUUUUUUCUUUCAGGCUUGAGAUGAGGAGGGGUUUUAAGCCUGGUGGUGAGCAGAUCAUUAAGAAGAGAGAUCAAAAGAGCAGCAGGGUCAGCCCUGAAGGAAGCAGCUCAUCAGUCUGACCUGUGAUCACAGGUGCAGGUGUGAUGGGGAACACAGGGGCAGCAAAAUAUCUCAGAGGCUAACACCUUUAACCACCAGCAGCGCCAGGGAGUUGUAAGAGGGGGAGCUGUGAGGGGGCUGGAUUGUUUAUAACAGAGGGUGCAAUAGCCAAAAUGUUUCAUGGGCAUUAAUGUAAUACUAUUCACUCAUAUCAUUCAGAUACAUGUAAAAUGUUGCAUUCACAAUGAUCCCAAAAAAUCACGAUCAAAUUUGAGGUCAUCGCAACAGCAUGUGUGGACUUAGUGGACAAACAGUGACCUUAACCUUCCUCCUGUGUUAGCUUUUACAAAACACCCACUAUGUUAAGGGUCAGUUUCAACCCGUGUCUUAAAUCAGCCACAAAUUACACUAAAAACAAUUCUCUAUCGUCCAAUUUGGUUCUCAUCUCUAGGCUAACUUGUUAGGCUUCAUUAUCCAUGAAAAUAUUGCUAAUAAUAUUUUUCAUUGUGGGUCUCUGGGCCUGUCUUUGUCAGUAUACCCCUCACACAGACAAUUUUACUAAAUUGAUCUCGUAUGUCUGGACAUGCCUGACAUUGUUAUUUGUCCAGGUGAAAACAUGGAAAAAUAAGAAUUUCCUCGAUCUCAUAUAAUUGGAAGAGGAUCUGACUGUCAGUGUGGUGCCUGCCAGUGCACUUGUGAUUUCAGUUUUUGCUCUAAUUAUUAGAUAUAAAUCUAAUUGGGUCAACAGUGACCCUAACACGACAAGUGCCAUAAUUUUAAUAAGAGCAUUUUAUAAUUUAGUCAAUUUUAUCUUUUAUUUUGUUGAAAUAGAAGUUCCUGACAAAGUCAAAAAGCCUUGAUGCAAAAAAGCAAAUUUAAGUGGUUCUUUAAAGCAUUUAAAAUAAAAAUCGGUUGGUGCAGACCCUAUAACACAGGAGGAGGGAUAAACUACAUCAGUGAUUAGCUUUCUAUCUAAUUAGGGAGUCUCCUCCUUGUUGACCCCAUGAUUGUCCUCCAUUCACAGCCAAACAAUGUCUCCACCGUCCACCAUCCUCUUUUCAGUGAUUAGCAGUCCGUCGUCAAGCUAGCUGACGUCAUUCAGCUCUAACUUGUCUGUUAGUGACUACAGAGUAACUCAGGAGAACAAACAUUAUUGUUUUCUCUGAAUCAACUUAACGCUUGUUUUACGUCCUCAACUGGAAGCUGUUGGAGUUAGGAAUGGUUAUAAUGUCAGAGAACACAAACCAGACAAUCACAAAAGCAGAAGAGGACGUCAUUUGCAUCACUGUAAUAUCCGUACAAAAAAGUUUUUUUAAUUGAUGAACUCUAAGACCAGAUUGAUUUCUCUCUGUUAGAGUUAAACUAUUUAUAAGUCACACGUUUGAUUCAGCUUUGAAUGCUGCAGUGUGGUUCAAACAGCUACAUCUUUCAAAUCUUAAAGUAGUAUUUUUAGGCUCUCAGUGACAACACUCCCCCUGUGAUCCCCUCCAUUCAUAAAUGCAGCCCAACACAAACUAAGCUAAGCUAAAUCAUCAAAGUCAAGCAUGGCCUGGAGGAAGCUCCAUGGUUAUAGAACAAAGACAUUUACAAAUGUCAUGUGUGACCCCUACGCUCACAUUCUGCACAGUGAUAAUAUAUAUCGAUGGGAAUGCCAUUAAAAAACAGUUUCAAGCCCCUCCUGGAUUCAUUUGCGCUGACCCAGAAUGCAGUAUUUUCUUAACACAAGCAGCAGGCUGCUUUGAUGUUAUCUCCCUAUCCAAACAGUGGAGGGCCGGCUGCCCCCACCCCGCCUGUGGCCGCGAAGGACGGCGUCGAUUAAUCACAGUGAAGCCUGCAAGGGCGCACUCAUAAAUCGCCUCGCCGCUCCUUAAACAGGAGAGUCCCAGGGCGCAGCUCCGUC